This 493-nucleotide ribosomal RNA is filed under the name uncultured bacterium. RNAcentral describes it as "partial 16S ribosomal RNA". It matches the Rfam family "Bacterial small subunit ribosomal RNA", at positions 29 to 507 of the family's 1533-position model. The record is from RNAcentral.
ACGAACGCUGGCGACGCGCUUAACACAUGCAAGUCGAACGGAAAGGCCUGCUUUCCCUUGUGGAUUGCGGGUACUCGAGUGGCGAACGGGUGAGUAACACGUGAGUGAUCUGCCCCCAACUUGGGUAUAAGCCUGGGAAACUGGGUCUAAUUCCCGAUAGGACUGCAGGGUGGUGCCUGUGGUGGAAAACGAUUUUCUAGUGGUUGGGGAUGAGCUCGCGGCCUAUCAGCUUGUUGGUGGGGUAAUGGCCUACCAAGGCGGCGACGGGUAGCCGGCCUGAGAGGGUGGACGGCCACAUUGGGACUGAGAUACGGCCCAGACUCCUACGGGAGGCAGCAGUGGGGAAUAUUACACAAUGGGCGGAAGCCUGAUGCAGCGACGCCGCGUGGGGGAUGACGGCCUUCGGGUUGUAAACUCCUUUCGACCGCGAGGAAGCCACCUGGUUGGAAGGGUGGUGACGGUAGUGGUAGAAGAAGUACCGGCUAACUACGUG